CGACGUACUUUGGAUUGUGAGUGGACAAAUUUUAUUUUAUUACUUCAGAUCGGUCCAACCCAAUCUGAAAUUUUUAAUAGUUUUUUUAUAUUUUUUGUUAACAUGACAUGUCACAUUAGCACCGUUAACGAUUAAAUCAGUCAAUUUGAUGGUUUUCGUUAACGAAGUGACUUAGUUGAUUUUUUUGGUAAUUAUUAAUAGCU
RNAcentral lists this long non-coding RNA (203 nucleotides) under Gossypium raimondii (Peruvian cotton). Its description in RNAcentral is "long non-coding RNA (GRAI_LNC001774)". Lineage: Eukaryota; Viridiplantae; Streptophyta; Magnoliopsida; Malvales; Malvaceae. The record is from RNAcentral.